CCGUGCGAGUGACCGGUCGCAUCCGCAAGGAUGAGGAAAGUCCGGACUCCACAGGGUUGAGGACCCGUUCGUAAAGGACGGGAGGCAUGGGGCAAUCCCAUGCGAUGGAAAGUGCCACAGAGAAUAGACCGCCCGCAGGGGCAAGGGUGAAAUGGCGGUGUAAGAGACCACCGGCGCGGCUGAAACGACGCGUGCAGGGUAAACCCUCCUCGGAGCAAGAUCAAAUAGGGAACUGAACGGGCUGCCCGUCCGAUCCGGCGUCUUUCGGGAUGCAGGUUAAGUUCCGGGUUGAUCGCUUAGAUGAAUGACCGGAGCGCUUAAAGGCGUGAACAGAAUCUGGCUUAUUCGCCGCACGGAACC
RNAcentral lists this RNase P RNA (360 nucleotides) under Lentisphaerota bacterium. Its description in RNAcentral is "Lentisphaerae bacterium (feces metagenome) RNase P RNA component class A". It matches the Rfam family "Bacterial RNase P class A". From Rfam's summary of the family: Ribonuclease P (RNase P) is a ubiquitous endoribonuclease, found in archaea, bacteria and eukarya as well as chloroplasts and mitochondria. Its best characterised activity is the generation of mature 5'-ends of tRNAs by cleaving the 5'-leader elements of precursor-tRNAs. Lineage: Bacteria; Pseudomonadati; Lentisphaerota. The record is from RNAcentral.